AUUGAACGCUGGCGGCAGGCCUAACACAUGCGAGUCGAGCGGAUGAAGGGAGCCUGCUCCUGGAUUCAGCGGCGGACGGGUGAGUAAUGCCUAGGAAUCUGCCUGGUAGUGGGGGAUAACGUCCGGAAACGGGCGCUAAUACCGCAUACGUCCUGAGGGAGAAAGUGGGGGAUCUUCGGACCUCACGCUAUCAGAUGAGCCUAGGUCGGAUUAGCUAGUUGGUGGGGUAAAGGCCUACCAAGGCGACGAUCCGUAACUGGUCUGAGAGGAUGAUCAGUCACACUGGAACUGAGACACGGUCCAGACUCCUACGGGAGGCAGCAGUGGGGAAUAUUGGACAAUGGGCGAAAGCCUGAUCCAGCCAUGCCGCGUGUGUGAAGAAGGUCUUCCGAUUGUAAAGCACUUUAAGUUGGGAGGAAGGGCAGUAAGUUAAUACCUUGCUGUUUUGACGUUACCAACAGAAUAAGCACCGGCUAACUUCGUG
Molecule: ribosomal RNA, 484 nt
Filed under: uncultured bacterium
Lineage: Bacteria
Description: partial 16S ribosomal RNA
Rfam family: Bacterial small subunit ribosomal RNA
Source: RNAcentral